This is a long non-coding RNA of Syzygium oleosum, 258 nucleotides long. RefSeq lists it as uncharacterized. The transcript has 3 exons. The record is from RefSeq and is a predicted model, not a curated record. NCBI's taxonomy places the organism in Eukaryota, Viridiplantae, Streptophyta, Magnoliopsida, Myrtales, Myrtaceae.
UUAGUACGAUUCAUUACAUCAUAUCACAUGUCCCUCCUCUGGACAGCCUGGAUGAAAAACCUGAUUGCGAGAUGAGGAGUGGUUCAGGUAAUUGCUGCAUGACGUCCGAGUCUUUAAAACCAGAAGUUGAAAAGCCUAAAAGUGAAAAGCAUGAAUCUUCUGUACUGUCUGCCACCAAAAUAGCUAAGAAGAUAAAAUUGAAGUUCACUAAAGCGUGGAUUUUGUUUUUGAGGGUACCACUUCCACUUGAUGUAUAUA